AGAUUGAACGCUGGCGGAAUGCUUUACACAUGCAAGUCGAACGGCAGCACGGGGGCAACCCUGGUGGCGAGUGGCGAACGGGUGAGUAAUACAUCGGAACGUGCCCAGUCGUGGGGGAUAACUACGCGAAAGCGUAGCUAAUACCGCAUACGAUCUACGGAUGAAAGCGGGGGACCGUAAGGCCUCGCGCGAUUGGAGCGGCCGAGUGGCAGAUUAGGUAGUUGGUGGGGUAAAGGCUCACCAAGCCUGCGAUCUGUAGCUGGUCUGAGAGGACGACCAGCCACACUGGGACUGAGACACGGCCCAGACUCCUACGGGAGGCAGCAGUGGGAAUUUGGACAAGUGGGCGCAAGCCUGAUCCAGCCAUCCGCGUGCAGGAUGAAGGCCCGUCGGGUUGUAAACUGUCGUUUUAGUAACCGGAAACGAAAACGCCCGUACUUCUAACUACGAGGGGUUCCAGUGACGGUACCGUAAGAAUAA
RNAcentral lists this ribosomal RNA (480 nucleotides) under uncultured soil bacterium. Its description in RNAcentral is "bacterial SSU rRNA". It matches the Rfam family "Bacterial small subunit ribosomal RNA", at positions 26 to 489 of the family's 1533-position model. The record is from RNAcentral.